CUAUGUUUUGGCGCAGGAAUUUGAAGAAGUAGAGAUGGAGCUGCUGAUUGGAAGAAAUUGGAGAAAGACGAGCUGUCGAUGGAGAUUUGACAUGAAGACGGAAGAAAGUAGAGAUUGUGCUUUUAAUUUACUUGUUAUAUUUUUAUGAAGCCCAAAACUUUUAGUUUUAUUUUAUUUUGGAUGUUAAUUAAGUUUAGGGCCGAAGCCCAUGUUAUUAAGGUUAGGCGGCACGUUAGAAGGAAUUAAUUCCUUUAGUUUUGUUAAGGCCGCAUGGCCUCAUAUAUAUAUAUUAGUUUUAGGUUUAAACUUUAGAUUACACAUUCACAAUUUUAUACUCAGCCGCAACAUUAGACUUUGAUUAUUAGGUUUGACUUUGGUUUUAGUUUAGAUACACUUUUGCUUUUGAAUGCAGACGUCUUUUUCUUUCCAAAUUUUCCAUGCAUGCAAUUUUUUAUUCCUCAUGCAAUUCGAUUUUCACGUACUAGUUUCUUGAUUUCAUAGCUUUAGUUAGUUCAAUUCUUGUUUAUUUGGUUCAUCAAUUUGCGGCUGGAUUGGUUUGAUCGAGGCAGACGACAUCUGGACAAAUUGGAUUAAUUCAAGUUUGAUUUAUUUCUUGCAAUUUAUUUUCUCAACUUAUUUCGCAUAUUUUAAUUAUGUUUAAUUUUAUUUAUGUGAUUGUUUUUUUAAUUUAAGCAUGAGUAGCUAAAUCUUUUAAUUCGGCGAGAAUAAUGAAACUCUAAUUUAAUGAUCUGUGAGACCUAAUUGGUUUAAAAUUGAUUCCUAUUGAUUCCGAUUAAUUCAUAGGUUCCAAGAUAAUUCUGAUUUUAUUUAAGCCUGAUCAACUUAAGUUUAAUUGGAUUACAGUCAAUUAGUUCCUGUCAAUCCGUAAUUGUUGGAAUUGGACUAAUUAGUGAUACAACUACCGUGUUCGUAGGGGGAAUUAAUUGGUAUAUUAAUUAUUACUAGCGUCUCUAGGAUAAUUGAUAUAAAUUGAGUUCCUUCAUCAUAAUGCUGUUAGAAUAUUAAAUCUAGGUCUGGCGUCUCCAGCUAAGUUAUAUUUUAAUAAGGGAAAUAAGCAGGUCUGGCGUCUCCAGCUGUUUAUCGACACAGUAAGUAGGAAUUGGGGUACGUCCGUUGCGUUUCACGGUAUC
RNAcentral lists this long non-coding RNA (1151 nucleotides) under Salvia miltiorrhiza (redroot sage). RNAcentral's name for it is "long non-coding RNA (SMIL_LNC013130)". The record is from RNAcentral. Lineage: Eukaryota; Viridiplantae; Streptophyta; Magnoliopsida; Lamiales; Lamiaceae.